AUUGAACGCUGGCGGCAUGCUUUACACAUGCAAGUCGAACGGUAACAGGCCUUCGGGUGCUGACGAGUGGCGAACGGGUGAGUAAUGCAUCGGAACGUGCCCAAUCGUGGGGGAUAACGUAGCGAAAGUUACGCUAAUACCGCAUAAGCCCUGAGGGGGAAAGCAGGGGAUCGCAAGACCUUGCGCGAAUGGAGCGGCCGAUGUCAGAUUAGCUAGUUGGUGGGGUAAAGGCCUACCAAGGCGACGAUCUGUAGCGGGUCUGAGAGGAUGAUCCGCCACACUGGGACUGAGACACGGCCCAGACUCCUACGGGAGGCAGCAGUGGGGAAUUUUGGACAAUGGACGCAAGUCUGAUCCAGCAAUGCCGCGUGCAGGACGAAGGCCUUCGGGUUGUAAACUGCUUUUGUACAGAACGAAAGGGACUCUGGUUAAUAACCUUGGGGCGAGAUGACGGUACUGUAAGAAUAAG
Molecule: ribosomal RNA, 469 nt
Filed under: uncultured bacterium
Lineage: Bacteria
Description: bacterial SSU rRNA
Rfam family: Bacterial small subunit ribosomal RNA
Source: RNAcentral